GAAAUGCGAUAAGUAAUGUGAAUUGCAGAAUUCGUGACUCAUCGAAAUUUUGAACGCAUAUUGCACCUAGUGGCAUUCCACUAGGUAUGCUUGUUUGAGUGUCUGUCCAUUUUCCUCACCUUUCGGGGUGGAUUUGAUUAUUUUUUCUGCAAAGAAGAAUUAGUCUAAAUGGAUUCAGUGACUUGAUUUUUCGGAAACGGAAAAAAGUUAUUCAUGUCAGUAGGGUAACACCUAAUGCUAGAGUAAUUUUUCAUGUGGAAGGAAAUUUUAAAGAAACUGCCAAAGACCCCCAGUUUAUUUUUCUUUAAAUUGGACCUCAAAUCAAGCAAGAUUACCCGCUGAACUUAAGC
This 350-nucleotide unclassified non-coding RNA is filed under the name plant metagenome. RNAcentral's name for it is "partial contains 5.8S ribosomal RNA, internal transcribed spacer 2, and large subunit ribosomal RNA". The stretch from base 1 to 104 matches the Rfam family "5.8S ribosomal RNA", at positions 50 to 154 of the family's 154-position model. The record is from RNAcentral.